UACGUAGGUGACAAGCGUUGUCCGGAUUUACUGGGCGUAAAGAGCGCGCAGGCGGUCGAUCAAGUCGAGUGUGAAAGCCCCCGGCUCAACUGGAGAGGGUCAUUCGAAACUGGUCGACUCGAAGGCAGGAGAGGGUAGUGGAAUUCCCGGUGUAGUGGUGAAAUGCGUAGAUAUCGGGAGGAACACCAGUGGCGAAGGCGACUACCUGGCCUGUUCUUGACGCUGAGGCGCGAAAGCUAGGGGAGCAAACGGG
This 253-nucleotide ribosomal RNA is filed under the name uncultured bacterium. RNAcentral's name for it is "partial 16S ribosomal RNA". It matches the Rfam family "Bacterial small subunit ribosomal RNA", at positions 524 to 776 of the family's 1533-position model. The record is from RNAcentral.